Molecule: long non-coding RNA, 1161 nt
Organism: Pipistrellus kuhlii (Kuhl's pipistrelle)
Lineage: Eukaryota; Metazoa; Chordata; Mammalia; Chiroptera; Vespertilionidae
Exons: 2
Source: RefSeq, a predicted model, not a curated record
AGAUCUUUGCCAGAGGGUACUUGGGAGCUGGGGCUGCUGGAGCCAGAGUGCUGAUCCCUGAAACUCCUUUUUUCUGGUCAGCGCUCCAGGCUCCUGAUCCUGGAAAGAGCCCUAUUAUCCUUGCGAUUUUCCUGCUCAGAAGAUUGUCUCCUGGACUUUUUGUAAUAGCUUUUCCCCUCGGUAUUAAUAUGGGCAAGACAUUUACCCUAUAUUGGGAUCAGUAACUGGUGCAUAAAGUGAGAAGCGAGAUGAAGGAGAUGAUUGCCAAGUCUCCUGCCAGUGACAACAGUCUCUGAAUCUGGGUUCAUCAAAUCAGAGAAUAACAGAGACGGCUGCUGUCUCAGCCAGAGCACUUUUGAAUCUGAAUUUGGAUUACUUACAUGGCAGCCACAUCUCUGCUGACUCAUGGGACCCCAACAUGUUCUUUUCACAUGCAUUGUUAAAGUUGAUCUUCCCCAUCCUGUAACUAUUGCCCUUUUUUUAAAAACAAACAACAACGAAAUGACCCCCCAAAAGACUUAAGUGCGAGAGUUUGGAUUCAUCCCUGUUAUAAGAUAUGACCCUUCCCCCACCCCCAUGUUUGUCAAAAGAUUCUUUCCCGUAUUGAAUCUCAGGCAUUCACUUCCCCUUGAAACGUCUUGUCAUUUUCAGUUUAGUCAGCAGGUCUUCAGUGUCCUCUUCUGAUAGUCUCAAAAGUCCUGGUCGGUAUAGAAACAUACAGCACACCACCACGGACCUCCCUCCAAACUUCCAUUUCCCCGGGUAUAAAGUAGUAAGCACCACCCGGUCAGUGUUUCUCACCAGGGUGUCUUAAAGACCUUGGCAGCCGGGGCUGGGUCUGGAAAGGGGCUGGGUCUGCUUUUGAGAGAAGCAGAGAGAUGUGCCAUUCCCUUGAUCACACUUAGUGAGUGUUGCCUGUGCUAGGGAUGAGGAUAAAUGAUCUGGAACUUGUAGUCUAGUGAGAGGCACACGAAGAACACUGACCACACUCAAUACAGAGGAAUCCUUAGAAGUUAUAUGGGAGCUGUGUGAGUGGGCCACACACCAGAGGUUUCAAGGACUGGCUGAGGUAUAGGGAGGGUCUUGCAGGAUGAGUAAGCUAUCCCCGAGGGAAGCUGAGCAGGACUCCCUUAUAGUCCAGGAGCACAAACAGCCACCAAA